AUGGGUCUGAGAGGGGUGCUUCUCGCUCUGGCCUUGCUGCUCUCGGUGUGCGUGCGAGCAAGCCAUGGACUCACGGACAGCCAGGACACUUCUGUUCUCCGAGCGUUAAUGGAUCAGUGGCAGAACUCGCCGCCUACGUGGGGACAAUCCGAUGAUCCCUGCGGUGUUUCGCCAUGGGACGGAGUGACAUGCAGCAACGACAGGGUGAUCUCCAUAAAAGUGUCAACCAUGGGUAUCAAAGGACUUCUAGCUGCUGACAUCGGGCAGCUGACCGAGCUGCAAUCCCUGGACCUGUCAUUCAACAAAGACCUUGGAGGUGUGCUCACUCCGACCAUCGGUAAUUUGAAGCAGCUUGCGACCUUGAUUCUGGCAGGUUGCAGCUUUCAUGGCAACAUCCCUGAUGAGCUAGGCAGUCUUCCAAAACUAUCCUACAUGGCUCUGAACUCGAAUCAGUUCUCUGGAAAAAUACCAGCAUCUCUGGGCAAUCUCUCCAGCCUCUAUUGGUUUGAUGUCGCCGACAAUCAACUGACCGGCCCAUUGCCAAUCUCAUCAAACGGGGGAAUGGGUCUAGACAAGCUUACAAAAACCAAACACUUCCACUUCAACAAGAACCAAUUGUCUGGUCCCAUCCCAGAUGCUCUCUUCAGCCCUGAGAUGACACUGAUUCAUCUGCUUUUCGAUGGAAAUAAGUUCACCGGUGACAUCCCGGACUCUCUUGGGUUUGUUAGCACACUCGAAGUUGUCCGGCUGGAUAGAAAUUCCCUCUCCGGACCAGUUCCGGCGAACCUGAAUAACCUCACCAAAGUAAACGAGCUCAACUUAGCCAACAACCAGCUUAACGGACCGUUGCCCAAUCUAUCUGGGAUGACUCUUCUCAAUUAUGUUGAUCUGAGCAACAACACAUUUGAUCCUUCCCCGAGCCCGCAGUGGUUCUGGAAGUUGCCACAGCUCUCAGCUCUGAUCAUACAAUCCGGAAGACUCUACGGCACGGUGCCGAUGAAGCUGUUCAGCAGCCCGCAGCUGCAGCAAGUGAUCCUGGACGGCAACGCGUUCAAUGGCACCCUCGACCUGGGGAGGAGCAUUAGCAGCGAGCUGAGCAUGGUGAGCUUCAAGGACAACGACUUCUCCUCCGUCACGGUGACCUCCAGCUACAACGGCACCCUCGCGCUGGCCGGGAACCCGGUGUGCGACCACCUGCCGAACACGGCGUACUGCAACGUGACACAGCACGCGCCUUCUCGGGCGUACACGACAAGCCUGGUGAAGUGCUUCUCCGGGGCGUGCCCGCCGGAGCAGAGCAUGAGCCCGCAGAGCUGCGGGUGCGCGUACCCGUACCAGGGGGUGAUGUACUUCCGCGCGCCCUUCUUCGCGGACGUGGGCAACGGCACGGCGUUCCAGGAGCUGGAGAGCAAGCUGUGGACCAAGCUGGAGCUCAGCCCGGGCUCCGUGGCCCUGCAGGACCCCUUCUUCAACAGCGACUCCUACAUGCAGGUCCAGGUGAAGCUCUUCCCUUCCGGCGGCCCCUACUUCAACCGCACCGAGGUGAUGCGCAUCGGCUUCGACCUCAGCAACCAGACCUUUAAGCCGCCCAAGGAGUUCGGCCCCUACUACUUCAUCGCCUCCCCGUACCCCUUCCCAGAUCGGAACGUGCCGGCAUCCAAGAGCAAGGGCGCCAUCAUCGGGAUCGCGGUUGGCUGCGGCGUCCUGGUCAUCGCCCUCGUCGGAGCUGCUGUCUACGCGCUCACGCAGAGGCGCCGCGCACAGAAGGCCACGGAAGAGCUCGGCGGACCUUUCGCGUCGUGGGCUCGGAGCGAGGAGCGGGGCGGCGCGCCGCGGCUGAAAGGGGCGAGGUGGUUCUCGUGCGAGGAGCUGAAGCGGAGCACCAACAACUUCGCGGAGGCGAACGAGCUGGGGUACGGAGGGUACGGCAAGGUGUACAGGGGCAUGCUGCCCAACGGGCAGUUCAUCGCCAUCAAGAGGGCGCAGCAAGGGUCGAUGCAGGGCGGGCACGAGUUCAAGACCGAGAUCGAGCUGCUCUCCCGGGUGCACCACAAGAACCUCGUCGGCCUCGUCGGCUUCUGCUUCGAGCAGGGCGAGCAGAUGCUCGUCUACGAGUACAUGUCCGCCGGCACACUGCGCGACAGCCUCACCGGGAAGAGCGGCCUGCAUCUCGACUGGAAGAAGCGGCUCCGGGUGGCGCUGGGCGCCGCACGCGGCCUCGCCUACCUGCAUGAGCUCGCCGACCCGCCCAUCAUCCACCGGGACGUCAAGUCCAGCAACAUCCUCAUGGACGAGCACCUCACCGCCAAGGUCGCCGACUUCGGCCUCUCCAAAUUAGUGUCUGACAGCGACAAGGGCCAUGUCAGCACCCAAGUCAAAGGAACGCUGGGUUAUCUGGACCCCGAGUACUACAUGUCCCAGCAACUGACGGAGAAGAGCGACGUCUACAGCUUCGGCGUGGUCAUGCUCGAGCUGAUCAUCGCCAGGCAGCCGAUCGAGAAGGGGAAGUACAUCGUCAGGGAGGCCAAGAGGGUUUUCGACGCUGCCGACGCCGAGUUCUGCGGCCUCAGGGGCAUGAUAGACUCCAGGAUCAUGAACACCAACCAUCUCGCCGCGUUCAGCAAGUUCGUGCAGCUGGCCCUCCGGUGCGUGGAGGAGGGCGCUGCCGCCCGACCGUCGAUGAGCGACGUCGUCAAGGAGAUCGAGAUGAUGCUGCAGAGCGAGGGGCUCAGCAGCGCCUCGACAUCCGCCUCAACGUCUGCGACGGACUUCGACGUCACAAAAAGCGCUCCUCGCCACCCUUACAACGAUCCUCUCCCAAAGAAGGACAAGGACAUGAGUACAGACUCAUUCGACGAUUAUAGCGGAGGAUAUUCUUUCCAGUCAAAGGUCGAACCAAAGUAG
This 2904-nucleotide ribosomal RNA is filed under the name Triticum aestivum (bread wheat). Its description in RNAcentral is "partial small subunit ribosomal RNA". Lineage: Eukaryota; Viridiplantae; Streptophyta; Magnoliopsida; Poales; Poaceae. The record is from RNAcentral.